GGCUAAUGAUGGCUAAUCACACCAAUAUCUCCUCGCUGUUUGAGAGAACUUGUCGCAGUACGAUAAACUGCGAAAACGUGAGGCUUUCCUGGAGCAGUUCCGUAAGGAAGACAUUUUAAGGACAACUUUGAUGAGCUGGAUAAUUCAAGGGAAAUUGUGCAGCAGUUAAUAGAUGAGUACCAUGCAGCUACUCGUCCAGACUACAUCUCUUGGGGAACCCAGGAUAAAUAAAAGGCCCUAUAAGGGUGAAGAGCUUGAGUACAAGGAGUGACAGUCCUGAGAGAGAACACAAUCCUUAACUCUAAAUACCACUGUCCUCCAAGUCAAAAGACAUUAAAACCUGGAAAGUAACAAGCAUUACCUUAAAGAGCAAGAGAAAUAUACAAAACAUGUAACAGUUCUGUUGUCGAGACCGUUGUUGCCUCCCAUUUUAUCUGUGCAGUUUCUGGAUGAUUUGUUAUUUGGGCCCUUUUCCACUUGUGUGUUUAUGUGCUACAUUUUAGCAAUGUAACAGUAGGAAUAUAUAGUUAAAUUAUAUUCAUCUUUCAUAUUGUUUAUUGGAGUAAAUUUCUUUCACUCACCGCUUACUA
Xenopus tropicalis (tropical clawed frog) is the source of this 590-nucleotide long non-coding RNA. RefSeq lists it as uncharacterized. Lineage: Eukaryota; Metazoa; Chordata; Amphibia; Anura; Pipidae. The transcript has 2 exons. The record is from RefSeq and is a predicted model, not a curated record.